RNAcentral lists this ribosomal RNA (497 nucleotides) under uncultured bacterium. RNAcentral's name for it is "partial 16S ribosomal RNA". It matches the Rfam family "Bacterial small subunit ribosomal RNA", at positions 28 to 507 of the family's 1533-position model. The record is from RNAcentral.
GAUGAACGCUGGCGGCGUGCCUAAUACAUGCAAGUCGAGCGAACGGACGAGAAGCUUGCUCCUCUGACGUUAGCGGCGGACGGGUGAGUAACACGUGGAUAACCUACCUAUAAGACUGGGAUAACUUCGGGAAACCGGAGCUAAUACCGGAUAAUAUAUUGAACCGCAUGGUUCAAUAGUGAAAGACGGUCUUGCUGUCACUUAUAGAUGGAUCCGCGCUGCAUUAGCUAGUUGGUAAGGUAACGGCUUACCAAGGCAACGAUGCAUAGCCGACCUGAGAGGGUGAUCGGCCACACUGGAACUGAGACACGGUCCAGACUCCUACGGGAGGCAGCAGUAGGGAAUCUUCCGCAAUGGGCGAAAGCCUGACGGAGCAACGCCGCGUGAGUGAUGAAGGUCUUCGGAUCGUAAAACUCUGUUAUUAGGGAAGAACAUAUGUGUAAGUAACUGUGCACAUCUUGACGGUACCUAAUCAGAAAGCCACGGCUAACUACGUG